UAUCCCCUGCGGUGCUCGUCACGGUCAGUCGUUCUAUGAACCAAUGCAUUUAUGCAAGGCUGCCGAAUCGGAGGCUGGUGUUCGCUUCCAUAGAAGCGUCUGAAAGUCUCGUCAGGCGGCCAUCUUGAACCGAGGUUCAAGAAAGCGAUCGAACGGCACAGGCGGGGGGCCA
Molecule: non-coding RNA, 172 nt
Filed under: Burkholderiales bacterium
Lineage: Bacteria; Pseudomonadati; Pseudomonadota; Betaproteobacteria; Burkholderiales
Description: 6S RNA
Rfam family: 6S / SsrS RNA
About the family: E. coli 6S RNA was the first non coding RNA to be sequenced, but its function was unknown until recently. It consists of 184 nucleotides that fold into an extended hairpin structure with a large single-stranded internal bulge.
Source: RNAcentral